GACGAACGCUGGCGGCGUGCUUAACACAUGCAAGUCGAACGGAAAGGCCCUGCUUUUGUGGGGUGCUCGAGUGGCGAACGGGUGAGUAACACGUGAGUAACCUGCCCUUGACUUUGGGAUAACUUCAGGAAACUGGGGCUAAUACCGGAUAGGAGCUCCUGCUGCAUGGUGGGGGUUGGAAAGUUUCGGCGGUUGGGGAUGGACUCGCGGCUUAUCAGCUUGUUGGUGGGGUAGUGGCUUACCAAGGCUUUGACGGGUAGCCGGCCUGAGAGGGUGACCGGCCACAUUGGGACUGAGAUACGGCCCAGACUCCUACGGGAGGCGGCAGUGGGGAAUAUUGCACAAUGGGCGGAAGCCUGAUGCAGCAACGCCGCGUGCGGGAUGACGGCCUUCGGGUUGUAAACCGCUUUCGCCUGUGACGAAGCGUGAGUGACGGUAAUGGGUAAAGAAGCACCGGCUAACUACGUGCCAGCAGCCGCGGUGAUACGUAGGGUGCGAGCGUUGUCCGGAUUUAUUGGGCGUAAAGGGCUCGUAGGUGGUUGAUCGCGUCGGAAGUGUAAUCUUGGGGCUUAACCCUGAGCGUGCUUUCGAUACGGGUUGACUUGAGGAAGGUAGGGGAGAAUGGAAUUCCUGGUGGAGCGGUGGAAUGCGCAGAUAUCAGGAGGAACACCAGUGGCGAAGGCGGUUCUCUGGGCCUUUCCUGACGCUGAGGAGCGAAAGCGUGGGGAGCGAACAGGCUUAGAUACCCUGGUAGUCCACGCUGUAAGCGGUGGGUACUAGGUGUGGGGUCCAUUCCACGGGUUCCGUGCCGUAGCUAACGCUUUAAGUACCCCGCCUGGGGAGUACGGCCGCAAGGCUAAAACUCAAAGGAAUUGACGGGGCCCCGCACAAGCGGCGGAGCAUGCGGAUUAAUUCGAUGCAACGCGUAGAACCUUACCUGGGUUUGACAUGGAUCGGGAGUGCUCAGAGAUGGGUGUGCCUCUUUUGGGGUCGGUUCACAGGUGGUGCAUGGCUGUCGUCAGCUCGUGUCGUGAGAUGUUGGGUUAAGUCCCGCAACGAGCGCAACCCUUGUUCACUGUUGCCAGCACGUUAUGGUGGGGACUCAGUGGAGACCGCCGGGGUCAACUCGGAGGAAGGUGGGGAUGACGUCAAGUCAUCAUGCCCCUUAUGUCCAGGGCUUCACGCAUGCUACAAUGGCUGGUACAGAGAGUGGCGAGCCUGUGAGGGUGAGCGAAUCUCGGAAAGCCGGUCUCAGUUCGGAUUGGGGUCUGCAACUCGACCUCAUGUAGUCGGAGUCGCUAGUAAUCGCAGAUCAGCAACGCUGCGGUGAAUACGUUCCCGGGGCUUGUACACACCGCCCGUCAAGUCAUGAAAGUUGGUAACACCCGAAGCCGGUGGCCUAACCGUUGUGGGGGAGCCGUCGAAGGUGGGACUGGUGAUUAGGACU
RNAcentral lists this ribosomal RNA (1447 nucleotides) under uncultured bacterium. RNAcentral describes it as "partial 16S rRNA". It matches the Rfam family "Bacterial small subunit ribosomal RNA". The record is from RNAcentral.